GGGGAAUUUUCCGCAAUGGGCGAAAGCCUGACGGAGCAAUACCGCGUGAGGGAAGACUGCCUAUGGGUUGUAAACCUCUUUUUUCAGGGAGGAAUAAAAUGACGUGUACCUGAAGAAUAAGCAUCGGCUAACUCCGUGCCAGCAGCCGCGGUAAGACGGAGGAUGCAAGUGUUAUCCGGAAUCACUGGGCGUAAAGCGUCUGUAGGUGGUUUAAUAAGUCAACUGUUAAAUCUUGAGGCUCAACCUCAAAAUCGCAGUCGAAACUAUUAGACUAGAGUAUAGUAGAGGUAAAGGGAAUCUCCAGUGGAGCGGUGAAAUGCGUAGAUAUUGGAAAGAACACCGAUGGCGAAAGCACUUUACUGGGCUAUUACUAACACUCAGAGACGAAAGCUAGGGUAGCAAAAGGGAUUAGAUACCCCUGUAGUC
RNAcentral lists this ribosomal RNA (426 nucleotides) under uncultured phototrophic eukaryote. RNAcentral describes it as "bacterial SSU rRNA". It matches the Rfam family "Bacterial small subunit ribosomal RNA", at positions 356 to 795 of the family's 1533-position model. The record is from RNAcentral.